This 253-nucleotide ribosomal RNA is filed under the name uncultured bacterium. Its description in RNAcentral is "partial 16S ribosomal RNA". It matches the Rfam family "Bacterial small subunit ribosomal RNA", at positions 524 to 776 of the family's 1533-position model. The record is from RNAcentral.
UACGUAGGGCGCAAGCGUUGUCCGGAAUUAUUGGGCGUAAAGAGCUCGUAGGCGGCUUGUCACGUCGGGUGUGAAAGCCCGGGGCUUAACCCCGGGUCUGCAUUCGAUACGGGCUGGCUAGAGUGUGGUAGGGGAGAUCGGAAUUCCUGGUGUAGCGGUGAAAUGCGCAGAUAUCAGGAGGAACACCGGUGGCGAAGGCGGAUCUCUGGGCCUUACCUGACGCUCAGGUGCGAAAGCUAGGGGAGCGAACAGG